This 460-nucleotide ribosomal RNA is filed under the name uncultured bacterium. RNAcentral's name for it is "partial 16S ribosomal RNA". It matches the Rfam family "Bacterial small subunit ribosomal RNA", at positions 338 to 795 of the family's 1533-position model. The record is from RNAcentral.
CCUACGGGAGGCAGCAGUGAGGAAUAUUGGUCAAUGUGCGGAAGCCUGAACCAGCCAAGUAGCGUGCAGGAUGACGGCCCUACGGGUUGUAAACUGCUUUUAUACGGGAAUAACGCGCCUUACGUGUAGGGCUUUGCAUGUACCGUAUGAAUAAGGACCGACUAAUUCCGUGCCAGCAGCCGCGGUAAUACGGAAGGUCCGGGCGUUAUCCGGAUUUAUUGGGUUUAAAGGGAGCGUAGGCCGCAUGUCAAGCGUGCUGUGAAAUGUCCGGGCUCAACCCGGGCCUUGACGCGCGAACUGGCGGGCUUGAGUCCGCGGAAGGCAGGCGGAAUUCGUGGUGUAGCGGUGAAAUGCGUAGAGAUGACGAAGAAUCCCGAUGGCGAAGGCAGCUUGCUGAAGAGGAACUGACGCUGAUGCUCGAAAGCGCGGGUAUCGAACAGGAUUAGAUACCCGAGUAGUC